UUUCUGUCCUGCAAAAUGGUGU
RNAcentral lists this non-coding RNA (22 nucleotides) under Rattus norvegicus (Norway rat). Lineage: Eukaryota; Metazoa; Chordata; Mammalia; Rodentia; Muridae. The record is from RNAcentral.